CCUACGGGGGGCAGCAGUGGGGAAUUUUGCACAAUGGGGGAAACCCUGAUGCAGCAACGCCGCGUGAGUGAAGAAGUAUUUCGGUAUGUAAAGCUCUAUCAGCAGGGAAGAAAAUGACGGUACCUGAUUAUGCAGCCCCGGCUAACUACGUACCAGCAGCCGCGGUAAUACGUAGGGGGCAAGCGUGAUACGGAUUUACUGGGGGUAAAGGGAGCGGAGACGGAAGCUCAAGUCUGGAGUGAAAUGCCGGGGCUUAACCCCGGAAGUGCCUUGGAAACUGGGCAGCUAGAGUGCAGGAGAGGUAAGUGGAACUCCUAGUGUAGCGGUGAAAUGCGUAGAUAUUAGGAGGAACACCAGUGGCGAAGGCGGCUUACUGGACUGUAACUGACGUUGAGGCUCGAAAGCGUGGGGAGCAAACAGGAUUAGAUACCCUGGUAGUC
Molecule: ribosomal RNA, 440 nt
Filed under: uncultured bacterium
Lineage: Bacteria
Description: partial 16S ribosomal RNA
Rfam family: Bacterial small subunit ribosomal RNA
Source: RNAcentral